RNAcentral lists this ribosomal RNA (315 nucleotides) under uncultured bacterium. Its description in RNAcentral is "bacterial SSU rRNA". It matches the Rfam family "Bacterial small subunit ribosomal RNA", at positions 202 to 507 of the family's 1533-position model. The record is from RNAcentral.
AUCGCAAGACCUCGGCGUUUAUACGAGCGGCCGAUGUCGGAUUAGCUAGUUGGUGGGGUAAAGGCCCACCAAGGCGACGAUCCGUAGCGGGUCUGAGAGGAUGAUCCGCCACACUGGGACUGAGACACGGCCCAGACUCCUACGGGAGGCAGCAGUGGGGAAUUUUGGACAAUGGGGGCAACCCUGAUCCAGCCAUGCCGCGUGCGGGAAGAAGGCCUUCGGGUUGUAAACCGCUUUCGGACGGAAAGAAAUCGCAUGGGUUAAUACCCUGUGUGGAUGACGGUACCGUAAGAAGAAGCACCGGCUAACUACGUG